RNAcentral lists this ribosomal RNA (387 nucleotides) under uncultured bacterium. Its description in RNAcentral is "bacterial SSU rRNA". It matches the Rfam family "Bacterial small subunit ribosomal RNA", at positions 28 to 417 of the family's 1533-position model. The record is from RNAcentral.
GACGAACGCUGGCGGCGUGCUUAACACAUGCAAGUCGAGCGGUAAGGCACCUUCGGGUGUACACGAGCGGCGAACGGGUGAGUAACACGUGAGUAAUCUGCCCUUCACUUCGGGAUAACCGCCGGAAACGGUGGCUAAUACCGGAUACGACGCACUCUUGCAUGAGAUGUGCGUGGAAAGUCUUCUCGGUGAAGGAUGUGCUCGCGGCCUAUCAGCUUGUUGGGAGGUAAUGGCUCACCAAGGCUUCGACGGGUAGCCGGCCUGAGAGGGUGACCGGCCACACUGGGACUGAGACACGGCCCAGACUCCUACGGGAGGCAGCAGUGGGGAAUAUUGGACAAUGGGCGAAAGCCUGAUCCAGCAACGCCGCGUGAGGGAUGACGGCCU